This 1792-nucleotide ribosomal RNA is filed under the name Salmonella enterica subsp. enterica serovar Infantis. RNAcentral's name for it is "bacterial LSU rRNA". It matches the Rfam family "Bacterial large subunit ribosomal RNA", at positions 1119 to 2812 of the family's 2925-position model. The record is from RNAcentral. Lineage: Bacteria; Pseudomonadati; Pseudomonadota; Gammaproteobacteria; Enterobacterales; Enterobacteriaceae.
UCAUUUAAAGAAAGCGUAAUAGCUCACUGGUCGAGUCGGCCUGCGCGGAAGAUGUAACGGGGCUAAACCAUGCACCGAAGCUGCGGCAGCGAACGUAUCACUUAAAGCGAUUCAGCGGGUUACGAUUGACGGAGCGAAGCGACGUCAAAGCGUAUACAAAGUCGAGUCGGUUUAAGGAUACGUUCGUUGGGUAGGGGAGCGUUCUGUAAGCCUGUGAAGGUGUGUCGUGAGGCAUGCUGGAGGUAUCAGAAGUGCGAAUGCUGACAUAAGUAACGAUAAAGCGGGUGAAAAGCCCGCUCGCCGGAAGACCAAGGGUUCCUGUCCAACGUUAAUCGGGGCAGGGUGAGUCGACCCCUAAGGCGAGGCCGAAAGGCGUAGUCGAUGGGAAACGGGUUAAUAUUCCCGUACUUGGUGUUACUGCGAAGGGGGGACGGAGAAGGCUAUGUUGGCCGGGCGACGGUUGUCCCGGUUUAAGCGUGUAGGUGUGUGUUCCAGGUAAAUCCGGUUCACUUUAACACUGAGGCGUGAUGACGAGGCACUACGGUGCUGAAGCAACAAAUGCCCUGCUUCCAGGAAAAGCCUCUAAGCAUCAGGUAACAUCAAAUCGUACCCCAAACCGACACAGGUGGUCAGGUAGAGAAUACCAAGGCGCUUGAGAGAACUCGGGUGAAGGAACUAGGCAAAAUGGUGCCGUAACUUCGGGAGAAGGCACGCUGACAUGUAGGUGAAGUGAUUUACUCAUGGAGCUGAAGUCAGUCGAAGAUACCAGCUGGCUGCAACUGUUUAUUAAAAACACAGCACUGUGCAAACACGAAAGUGGACGUAUACGGUGUGACGCCUGCCCGGUGCCGGAAGGUUAAUUGAUGGGGUCAGCGCAAGCGAAGCUCCUGAUCGAAGCCCCGGUAAACGGCGGCCGUAACUAUAACGGUCCUAAGGUAGCGAAAUUCCUUGUCGGGUAAGUUCCGACCUGCACGAAUGGCGUAAUGAUGGCCAGGCUGUCUCCACCCGAGACUCAGUGAAAUUGAACUCGCUGUGAAGAUGCAGUGUACCCGCGGCAAGACGGAAAGACCCCGUGAACCUUUACUAUAGCUUGACACUGAACAUUGAGCCUUGAUGUGUAGGAUAGGUGGGAGGCUUUGAAGCGUGGACGCCAGUCUGCGUGGAGCCGACCUUGAAAUACCACCCUUUAAUGUUUGAUGUUCUAACGUGGACCCGUAAUCCGGGUUGCGGACAGUGUCUGGUGGGUAGUUUGACUGGGGCGGUCUCCUCCUAAAGAGUAACGGAGGAGCACGAAGGUUGGCUAAUCCUGGUCGGACAUCAGGAGGUUAGUGCAAUGGCAUAAGCCAGCUUGACUGCGAGCGUGACGGCGCGAGCAGGUGCGAAAGCAGGUCAUAGUGAUCCGGUGGUUCUGAAUGGAAGGGCCAUCGCUCAACGGAUAAAAGGUACUCCGGGGAUAACAGGCUGAUACCGCCCAAGAGUUCAUAUCGACGGCGGUGUUUGGCACCUCGAUGUCGGCUCAUCACAUCCUGGGGCUGAAGUAGGUCCCAAGGGUAUGGCUGUUCGCCAUUUAAAGUGGUACGCGAGCUGGGUUUAGAACGUCGUGAGACAGUUCGGUCCCUAUCUGCCGUGGGCGCUGGAGAACUGAGGGGGGCUGCUCCUAGUACGAGAGGACCGGAGUGGACGCAUCACUGGUGUUCGGGUUGUCAUGCCAAUGGCACUGCCCGGUAGCUAAAUGCGGAAGAGAUAAGUGCUGAAAGCAUCUAAGCACGAAACUUGCCCCGAGAUGAGUUCU